RNAcentral lists this ribosomal RNA (253 nucleotides) under uncultured bacterium. RNAcentral describes it as "partial 16S ribosomal RNA". It matches the Rfam family "Bacterial small subunit ribosomal RNA", at positions 524 to 776 of the family's 1533-position model. The record is from RNAcentral.
UACGUAGGGGGCUAGCGUUGUCCGGAAUCAUUGGGCGUAAAGCGCGUGUAGGCGGCCCGGUAAGUCCGCUGUGAAAGUCGGGGGCUCAACCCUCGGAUGCCGGUGGAUACUGUCGGGCUAGAGUACGGAAGAGGCGAGUGGAAUUCCUGGUGUAGCGGUGAAAUGCGCAGAUAUCGGGAGGAACACCAAUGGCGAAGGCAGCUCGCUGGGACGGUACUGACGCUGAGACGCGAAAGCGUGGGGAGCAAACAGG